CCUACGGGUGGCGCCGUGGGGAAUAUUGCACAAUGGGCGCAAGCCUGAUGCAGCCAUGCCGCGUGUGUGAAGAAGGCCUUCGGGUUGUAAAGCACUUUCAGCGGGGAGGAAGGCGGUGAGGUUAAUAACCUCAUCGAUUGACGUUACCCGCAGAAGAAGCACCGGCUAACUCCGUGCCAGCAGCCGCGGUAAUACGGAGGGUGCAAGCGUUAAUCGGAAUUACUGGGCGUAAAGCGCACGCAGGCGGUCUGUCAAGUCGGAUGUGAAAUCCCCGGGCUCAACCUGGGAACUGCAUUCGAAACUGGCAGGCUAGAGUCUUGUAGAGGGGGGUAGAAUUCCAGGUGUAGCGGUGAAAUGCGUAGAGAUCUGGAGGAAUACCGGCGGCGAAGGCGGCCCCCUGGACAAAGACUGACGCUCAGGUGCGAAAGCGUGGGGAGCAAACAGGAUUAGAUACCCGGGUAGUC
RNAcentral lists this ribosomal RNA (464 nucleotides) under uncultured Klebsiella sp. Its description in RNAcentral is "bacterial SSU rRNA". It matches the Rfam family "Bacterial small subunit ribosomal RNA", at positions 338 to 795 of the family's 1533-position model. Lineage: Bacteria; Pseudomonadati; Pseudomonadota; Gammaproteobacteria; Enterobacterales; Enterobacteriaceae. The record is from RNAcentral.